RNAcentral lists this small RNA (81 nucleotides) under Candidatus Nitrotoga arctica. RNAcentral describes it as "int-alpA". It matches the Rfam family "int-alpA RNA". Rfam says of the family: Acidobacteria (1 example), Planctomycetes (1 example), Proteobacteria. Environment (Lake Washington) The record is from RNAcentral. Lineage: Bacteria; Pseudomonadati; Pseudomonadota; Betaproteobacteria; Nitrosomonadales; Gallionellaceae.
GCCACGUCUAGCCCCGGGUAAUUCCCUGGGGCGAACAGCCGGAAAUCCCUUCACCGGCUUGGCGCUGGUACCUUUGAAGGC